RNAcentral lists this ribosomal RNA (354 nucleotides) under Triticum aestivum (bread wheat). Its description in RNAcentral is "partial small subunit ribosomal RNA". The record is from RNAcentral. Lineage: Eukaryota; Viridiplantae; Streptophyta; Magnoliopsida; Poales; Poaceae.
AUGUCCAAAUCUUUACUUGUCGCCAUUAAAAUCUCAGACCGAGUAGCCGAAACUUAUGAGUCUUUGGCGAGAUGCACACCAUGUUCAUUGGCAGCGUUCUCAAGAUCGCGUCGCCUCGGCCAUGAUACAACAUGGAAUGUUGUGGUUUGUGCACCUUUGGCGACAUGUGCACAAUGUUCAUUGGCUACAACGGUAAGCUGGCAUCGCUUCACCGAACAAAAGAAUAAUCUUAGAAUGUAUGAAAGCAUCCACACGCUUGGAUGCGCCGGUCUUUUUUUUUCUACACUACAUCCAUCAUUAUUUAAUUUUUUUUGCGAGAAAAACUUUCAAUCUAUUCAUCUUCAAUCAUGGUAG